UUUCCCUCUCCCUUUUCUUCAUUUGUGUCCAGUGAGGGCAUCACCAGUUGAGUAGACUCCAUUGUUAAUCCUACAGUCCUCAGUCCUCAGCGAGUCUAUCAAUUCCUCCUCAGAAUCUUCCUCUUCCUCCUCUGGGGCUGACAGACUGGAUGUGGGGCCUUUACAUAUCUUUAAGUGGCGAGUGAGGUGAUAUUUGGUUAGAUAAGCCUUGGUGCAUUUUUCACAGACAUAGUCUCUCUUUCCUUCAUGUGAGUUGAGAUGCUUCUUCAGAUGAUUUGUCCUCAGAAACAGCUUGUCACACUUGGGGCACUUGAUCUGCCGUUCUUGUGUGUGGGUAAGUACGUGCUGCUUGAGGUCCUGCCUCCGCAUGAACAGCUUUUCACAGUAAUCACACUUCAGAUUCUUC
This 406-nucleotide long non-coding RNA is filed under the name Gallus gallus (chicken). The record is from RNAcentral. Lineage: Eukaryota; Metazoa; Chordata; Aves; Galliformes; Phasianidae.